CCCUUAGAUGUCCUGGGCUGCACGCGCGCUACACUGAUGUGUUCAAUAAGCACCUAACCUACUCCGAAGGGACUGGGUAACCUAUGCAAAGCACAUCGUGAUGGGGAUAGAUUAUUGCAAUUAUUAGUCUUGAACGAGGAAUUCCUAGUAAGCGCAAGUCAUCAGCUUGUGUUGAUUACGUCCCUGCCCUUUGUACACACCGCCCGUCGCUCCUACCGAUUGAAUGGUCCGGUGAAAUCUUCGGAUUGCUGGAUAGGACUUCAUUGACCUAUCUGCGAGAAGUUGCUUGAACCUUAUCAUUUAGAGGAAGGAGAANUCGUANCA
RNAcentral lists this ribosomal RNA (324 nucleotides) under uncultured eukaryote. RNAcentral's name for it is "partial 18S ribosomal RNA". It matches the Rfam family "Eukaryotic small subunit ribosomal RNA", at positions 1470 to 1796 of the family's 1831-position model. The record is from RNAcentral.